GUUAUUCGGAACUUAUAAUUUCUAUGCCCCGAAAUGACGUACCGAAGGAGUGUUACCAGUAAUUUUUAUUUCCAAUAGCCCAAAAUGCGGGUAAGUAAAUUGUAGGCAAUCAUAGAAAAAUAAUUAAGUAGAAAGUGGAUAUCAUUAUUGUGUUUUUUUUUAUCGUGUGAUUUUAUAUUUUACCUAAAUUGAAGUCAAUAUGAAUUUUUAACUCGUUUUUGUCUGUUUAAAUUUGUGAAUUAACUACUCAUAUUUUACUACUAAAUAUCAUGAUUUUAGGUUUCCAACGAAUAUUUUAAUAGGAGAUAGAAUAGGUAGCUGCUGUGCGACUGAGCUGAAAUGAACUACAACGACAGCCAUCCUCAUCUUGUGUGGACCUACCGGAUGAGUCUUAAAUUAGUCGUUAAUCAAGAUUCAAUCUUUGAUACACCUAGAAAACAUAAACAAAGAAAAGUUAAAAAAACAGGAACUUUAUUUAAAAAAAAUGUAAAAAAAUUAAAUCAUUACAGCAAAGAGUUAGACGUCUUUAAAACAGGAACUUGCCCUUCAGAGGAAUCAUCAAUUACUUAAAAACGCAAUUUUCAUUGACACAGAUUUAUAUAAUUCAUUAAAUCAAAACAUUGCAGCAAUAGAUUUAUUUAACAAUUUGAAGCAAAAAAGGAGUAAAUAUAUUUAAAACUAUAAA
Molecule: unclassified non-coding RNA, 685 nt
Filed under: Melitaea cinxia (Glanville fritillary)
Lineage: Eukaryota; Metazoa; Arthropoda; Insecta; Lepidoptera; Nymphalidae
Description: misc RNA ENSMCXG00005002258.1
Source: RNAcentral